CUCACAAGAGGUAUCGGGAAAGUUUUUCGCUAUAGGAUGAGGCUGCGGCCUAUCAGCUAGUUGGGGAGGUAACGGCUCACCAAGGCUAUGACAGGUAGCUGGUCUGAGAGGAUGAUCAGCCACACUGGAACUGAGACACGGUCCAGACUCCUACGGGAGGCAGCAGUGGGGAAUUUUACACAAUGGGCGAAAGCCUGAUGUAGCAACGCCGCGUGGAGGAUGACGGAUUUAGGUCUGUAAACUCCUUUUAUAGGGGAAGAAAUUUGACGGUACCCUAUGAAUAAGCGCCGGCUAACUCCGUGCCAGCAGCCGCGGUAAUACGGGGGGCGCAAGCGUUACUCGGAAUCACUGGGCGUAAAGGGAGCGUAGGCGUUCUAUUAAGUCUCGAGUGAAAUCCCGCAGCCUAACUGCGGAACUGCUCGGGAAACUGAUAGAAUAGAGUAUGGAAGAGGUAGGUGGAAUUUCCAGUGUAGGGGUAAAAUCCGUAGAUAUUGGAAGGAAUACCAGAAGCGA
Molecule: ribosomal RNA, 513 nt
Filed under: uncultured Campylobacterota bacterium
Lineage: Bacteria; Pseudomonadati; Campylobacterota
Description: bacterial SSU rRNA
Rfam family: Bacterial small subunit ribosomal RNA
Source: RNAcentral